ACUGUAUGCAAAAACGUACGACGCCUCAUAUGGGCUCCACCCUAUAUUCUGCCGUCGGCGGCCGCCGCAUUUUCCAUGACCUUGGCUUCGAGUUUUUUUGGGUCCCGAUCUCUGCGCCAUCUCGACCUGUCUACUACGGAGUUCCCUCUAGGCCUCCACUUCUCUCCUCCACGGCAUUAUUCAAAUCAGUCCCGGAAGCUGCUGGCCACGGUCGCCCCCAUUGAUUCGGGCGACGAUCUACGUAACCCUUCUGGCGUCCGUCAGGUGUUCGACGAAAUAACCAGCCAGGAUGCCACGCGGACUCCAGCUGCAUUGCUUGUGCGUCAAGUGUGGUUUUAGUCGGGCUGAGGUCACCAUUGCUUGAUGUGCAUCAAUUGCUCCAGUGUCGACCAUGGGAGGAUGGAGAGGGUGCUUGAGUGGAUACUCAAGAUGCAGAAGAAAGGAGCCACAAGAUAUUUCGCUUACUGGUUAUGUUCAGAGCAAAGGUUUAUUGUGGAGGGUUGACAUGGGCAAUCAGGGAAGAGCCAUCCUGGUCUAGUCUAAUGGCAUAUACCUCCGUUACAGUACUCCACAAUCUGUUAUCACAUUUUAUUUGGAUACGAUAACAUUAUUCAUUGCCCGGGGUUACUUUUUUGCAUUGAUCCCAUAGAAGGUAUGGUCUUCCUCCUGAUCUUUUAUAUUUUCCCCUUCCAAUUGGCACCUCCAAUUCCCUCACCGGAAAGUUCUUUAUAUUGGCGUAUUGGUGUAUAAAGGCUUAAACUUAUGAGGUGUUUGUUCAAUCUGAUUGAAUGGAUCUUUUAGAUUGGGGUUUAUGUUUCAA
Brachypodium distachyon (stiff brome) is the source of this 820-nucleotide RNA transcript. RefSeq lists it as uncharacterized. The record is from RefSeq and is a predicted model, not a curated record. The transcript has 3 exons. Lineage: Eukaryota; Viridiplantae; Streptophyta; Magnoliopsida; Poales; Poaceae.